RNAcentral lists this ribosomal RNA (319 nucleotides) under uncultured bacterium. Its description in RNAcentral is "bacterial LSU rRNA". It matches the Rfam family "Bacterial large subunit ribosomal RNA", at positions 115 to 446 of the family's 2925-position model. The record is from RNAcentral.
UGAAUGGGGCAUACCCACUAGUUGGAAGAUCUAGUAUCCUUAACAGGAGGCAAACCCGGGGAUCUGAAACAUCUAAGUACCCGGAGGAGAAGAAAACAAAAGUGAUUCCGUUAGUAGUGGCGAGCGAACGCGGAGCAGCCCAAACCCAUUUUGUUACGGCAAAGUGGGGGUAAUAGGCCUGCGAUGUUCAAUGCUAAGCGAAUUAGAAUCUACUGGAAAGUAGGACCAUAGAGGGUGAUAGUCCCGUAUAGGUAAGCGCAGUUAUUGAUAGCAGUAUCCUGAGUAGUGUCGGGGCACGUGGAAACCUUGCAUGAAUUUG